RNAcentral lists this long non-coding RNA (209 nucleotides) under Hordeum vulgare. RNAcentral's name for it is "long non-coding RNA (HVUL_LNC021222)". Lineage: Eukaryota; Viridiplantae; Streptophyta; Magnoliopsida; Poales; Poaceae. The record is from RNAcentral.
ACACACACAGAGAGUAGCGAAGUAGCUAGUUUAGCUAGAAGCUGGUCCAUGCAUUUCAACCUCGUUCGUUGUAUUUAUUAUAUGCACAUGAUUGACAAGGAUAAUUGGUUGACUACCGAACCCCUUCUAUACAAAUGUUAUUGUACGUACAACUUGCAUUAGAUUGUUUCCUAAUUUACUGUAAAUACCUGCGAUAACACUUGCAAGGG